This 253-nucleotide ribosomal RNA is filed under the name uncultured prokaryote. RNAcentral describes it as "partial 16S ribosomal RNA". It matches the Rfam family "Bacterial small subunit ribosomal RNA", at positions 524 to 776 of the family's 1533-position model. The record is from RNAcentral.
UACGUAGGGUGCAAGCGUUGUCCGGAAUUAUUGGGCGUAAAGAGCUCGUAGGCGGUCUGUCGCGUCUGCUGUGAAAACUCGGGGCUUAACCCCGGGCCUGCAGUGGGUACGGGCAGACUAGAGUGCGGUAGGGGAGACUGGAAUACUUGGUGUAGCAGUGAAAUGCGUAGAUAUCAAGUGGAACACCAGUGGCGAAGGCGAGUCCCUGGACAACUCCUGACACUGAGGCACGAAAGCUAGGGGAGCAAACAGG